AACAGGAUGUCCAUGGGCGUCUGCGAGGGCUGCGUGGGUGGCAGAGCUGCAUGGAGCGGGUGGGCAGGCCUCUGAAGUGGGAAGGGACCCGGAGAGUGAGACGCGGAGUCUGGGGCGAGACAACCCAGGUUCCCUCGGUCCCAGGCCCUUUCCUCUGACAGCCUGGAACCUGAUUCUGUGCGUAGCACCAGCCGGUUGGUUCAUUUCUAUGGGAAGAGAAAACACUCGGACUAAAGCGCUGCCAGAACGCAGCUGUACAUCUGCUGUUAUGAUGUCUGCCUUGGAAAUAGCCCGGAGCCCUGGUUCCCGCGUGACUUGGGGCGUCCGGGGGUUAUAUCAGAGCUGACUCUCCCUGGAGGGCGGGCCUCACACAGCCUGGAGGCCUUGAUCAGCGGACGCUGGGAGGAGGCCCUACCGGGCCUUGUGGGCAGUUAGGCGUUCAUUUCGUGGACAGAUCUCUCUUUGGCCAGAUAUGUUUCACAUUGUUUGAGAGCUUUGUCCCUGGGGCAGCUCAGUGUACAAGGAGCUUUGGUUGGUGAACUGGGCGCUGGACCAGGUUAUCUCUGUGCCUUUGAGCUCUGCGUGGCCCCAACUCUAUAGCUCAUGUGCCUCUGAGGGCCAUACCCGAGGUUGCUUCUUGCCCUAUGACACCGGCCCAGGAUUGAUCUCGGUUCUCCGCUGAGGAGCUAAGGAGCGCUGGUCCCCACCGUCACCUGUACCCCCUUCCUGGCACUUGUGGGGGCAUUUCCAGGGACAGAGAAGGGAGAGGAGGCUGCACUUUUUCAGGGUUCUCUUAUGAGAACCAAGAAUUUAGAGAUUACAGUAUCUUUUCUUCUCUAUCCUUCAAUGACAACUUGGUAUAAUUUUUUAAAAUCAUGUGAUGGAAGUAUUUUGUCUGCCCUCGACAUAAACUAAUUGAAGACACAGUGUCAGUGUUUAGGCUGCUGGGGGAGGCGCCACAGACUGUGUGUCACAGCUCACCUGUGUGUGAGAAUGGAAGAGACACCUGGUAAGGUCCCUGAGGGGCCAUGGUCCUAGUUCAGGUGUGAAAGUUAACAAGGAGAGAAGAGGUCAUUGUUUGUUUUGGACCUGGAGGGAUCCUGACCUAAGUUCCUUCUUAUAAUUUAUUGAAGAUUAAUUGCCACUAGCAUAAGCUCCCAGUGGAUAUAAAUGGGUAGUCAACAUUUAAGUACAGAAAGGAUUUACUUGUGUUUUUCAUAGAUUCUCUUCUUGGCAAUGAGAUGAGAUGCAGGCACUGUGGGUAUCUUGGUGUGGAGGGUGCAAGUUUUAGGGGCUCAGGUGGUCCCAGAGGGAUAUGGCCAGGUGCACAGAGCCCUGACCUGGGGCCUGGGAGGCCUGUCUUCUGUCAGUCACCACCCUGCACUUAGGGCAUCCAUUGUCCAUAAAAGGAAGGCAGAGGGAGGGUCUCCGAUUCUGCACGUUGUGCUCUGUAUAGUCAGGUAUCUGUGUAUCCGGGUUUCCUGAUUGGAACCCAGAAAAGGAAAAGAAAGCAGCACUAUCUGUUGGAAAUGUAACAUGUACGUUUAUAAGUAGGUCCCUCCUGUGCUUUAGGCACAGAUGGCAGGUGGACUGGAGGGUAAAUGUGCUGAGAACAAGCAAUGCACAGACAAACCCCAACAAAACUCGACAACAGGAACAUAAAAGACUCAGCUCCGGUUCCUCCAAACCUAGACCCAUCCAGGCCCAGGGCUCCAACGUCAAAGCAGCAUCCUGAGCAGAAUUGGGGUGCAGCCCAUGAAGGAACCUUCCCAAGGCCCUGAGGUUAGGGUUGAGCCUAGGAAAGUGUAAGAAGUGUGGUCAGCCUGACAUGGGAGCCGUUGAUGUCAAGGCAGAGAGAACAGACAGGAACUGCAGAGAGUGAAGUUAUGCAGAACAGAGGAACAAAGAGCUCCACUGAAGAAGCUUCUGGAACUCCCGAAGGUUGGAGAUGCUGCGGAGAAGAUGGGGCCGUGGAACUUAGAAAUGGAGAAUUAGCCGAGUGACACACCGUAACCCCCUAGAGAUGCUUCCUUGUUUGAGGUGGACCCACCCUGGCCUCCAGAGGAAAUAUUUUCAGGGCAUCUUUUUGACUGGUUUGCUAAGAGGCACUGUGAUGCUUUUUAAUAAUGUCUACAUUAAUUUAAAAAGGCAAAGGCGUGAAAACCAAGCAUGCCAUGGUAUCGACUGCUUUCAGUCCUCUGAAUCAAAGUUCUGGAACCCCAAGACGGUGUUCUCUAUCCCUGGGGCUCGCACCUGCAUGCACACUUCUCAGCAUCACGCACUGUGCACCCGGCACUGGUGGCUGCUUUAAUGACUCAGCACGUUUCCAGUCACUGGAGGGCUCCUCUGUCACUCCACUUACACCAGUCCCCCUGGGUGGCAAACAAGCGCAAAUACCAUGAAAAGAUGAGUGGGAGCUGAAAUACUGCUGAAGUCCUUUUCUUGUACGGGGACCAUUUUGGAGAGGCAGGUCCUGUCAUCAGCGUUCCGGCUCCUAGCUGUGCGGAAUCUCCAGGAAGAAGCCGGGGUCUGGGCUCUGCAGCUCAGGCCCCGCCCUGCCGUGUGUCAUCCGUGCCCAGAAGUGGCACCAGUUCAGCUCUGUGCAAAGGGCAUGUUUGCCAGGAGGGGCAGCCUCCGGGUGGCUGGGAGUCCAGGGUCAGAUCCUUGUUGAUACGGAGUUGGUGUGACCAGAUGCUGAGCUGGCUCACAGCAUCCAGAGUAAAGAAAACAGCCUUCAGAUUCAGAACCUUAUGAGAGAAACUGAGUCCAUGACGACAAGUCUUCCAAAGCUUUCGGUGUUUUAUCAAAUGUCCCUCUUCAAGAACAACAUUAUUGGAGAGAAGAAUGUGGAGGGGAGAGAAAUGAUUUUUUCAAUGGUAAAAUAGUUCAAUGUAAAAUAGUUCUAACCAGUUCACAUUGGUAUAUUGCGUAUUCAUUUAGUAUGAUAUUCUAUUUUUGUAACUGUUUUACUAGAAGAGUAGGUCUUUGACUUAAAUAUUUAUUUUUACACAGUUA
RNA transcript from Myotis brandtii (Brandt's bat), 3015 nucleotides. RefSeq lists it as uncharacterized. NCBI's taxonomy places the organism in Eukaryota, Metazoa, Chordata, Mammalia, Chiroptera, Vespertilionidae. The record is from RefSeq and is a predicted model, not a curated record. The transcript has 2 exons.